GGUCUAAUAGGCAGGAAGUGACCUGUUUGGGCUGCGCCAGGGGUAACGUGCGGGUUCCUCUUACGUCAGUUCCGCUGUGUGGUGGGAGCGGCCAGUGACCCUCUGUUGUGGGCGUUGUCCUUACGUUCCCUGGGCGUAAACUCGCGAGUCUUUCGUGUCAGCAGUAAUGAGAAAGAUGGAGAAUGGGCUGAGCGAGAAAGCUCACGCCGCCCCGGCACCGGGGAGGCAGAGGCUGUUGGAUCUGAAUCUGAGGCCAGUCUGGCCUGAAUAGCAAGUUCCACACCAGCCAAGGCUCCAUAGCGAGACCUUGGAAGUCGAGAGAAGGGAAGUUUUGUUGUGUAGAAAAUAAAUGUAGCCAGUAAAGGUAGAUGGAGUGAUAAAGUGACCAUUUGGGGUGCUUACACAUUACCCAUAGAAGCUAGAAGUCUUGUGGUGAAAGGAAGUAGAGGAAGGGCGAUUGUUUCCAGAGUUAGGAUGUUCACACAAGUAUGAAGUAUCGUAUUCCACAGGGAAUAAAUAAUUACAAUGAAAAGUUGGCAUUCACCUAAUUAUCGGCUUCCGCGUCACUAAUUGUGAGACAGCCGUACUUUAUGCAGCUCUUAGUGAAUGUCAGCCUGAAUGACUGACACCUGUAACGGAAUAUAAUCAAGCCUUCCAGUUUAAAAGAAAUGCACGCAUAAAGAAAGAUGUAAAUGGCCAAGAGCAAAGAACCGCAGGUGCAGAAGAAGCCAGUUUAGCUCUCACUAUUGGAUGGGCCCUUCUCACCACGUGAUGUCCAGAGUCACAUCAAGGUUCUGCAGAAUCCCACCAGCAAGAAGACCUGACCCAGACCUUGAAGUUGGACCUCCCACCCUCCAGCAUUCAACUUCAAACACUCAGUCAAGCUUUGCGGCUGAGGACUCUGGUGAAGAAAGGAAGGCAAACAACAUUUGUAAGAGGACUUACUGCAGAUCAGGAGUUGGCAGGAUAAAACCUGGCCUGCUUUCUGUUUUGUAAAUAAAGUUUUAUUA
This is a long non-coding RNA of Meriones unguiculatus (Mongolian gerbil), 1010 nucleotides long. RefSeq lists it as uncharacterized. The record is from RefSeq and is a predicted model, not a curated record. NCBI's taxonomy places the organism in Eukaryota, Metazoa, Chordata, Mammalia, Rodentia, Muridae. The transcript has 3 exons.